CAAAGACCAUGUAAAGCAACCUCGUACCUAGGGUUUUAUCUAGUAAAGUCCGUAAUGUAAACAAACGCUUUGUUUACAUUUUGAACUCAGUGCUACAGUUGUAAAAUAUGAUUAGAUAUAUAUUUAUAUGUACUGAAUUUUUAACACUCUUCUGGUUCGCUAUGCUUGUAAAUGAAUACAGACUAGAGAUUCAUUCCAACGGUUGAGUCCCGACCAUUGGAAUGUAAGCCUGCGCAGAACGUAUGCGCAGAACGGACUUUACAUGGUCUUGAAUUAUACUAGUGUGUUUGCGCGAAAAAAUCUGUUGAUUAUUUCGUCUAGGAACAGUGUGAAAAUUGGUUGAAUUUGGUAUAUGUGCUUUGUAAUGGGUGAAAAUGAUAAGAAUCGCAUGCGUAAUGUGUUGAUUUUUGGUUAGGGAAUGUAAAAAAUGAAAUUUACUUACUGAUAGAUGUCGACUGGUGGAGCGUACUUUGCGUGUAGGCAAGGCGAAAAGGAAUUCUUAGCAGGCGAGGGGUUCUAAAAUUACGUCGGGGGGAUUACUUAUGUCAAGCUUUGAUCACUUGUGGGUUCAACGGUUCAACAGAGUGCUGAGGCAUAGAAUAAAGAUCCAUAUAGAAGGGCCACUCAGCGGUGCAACAUGUCCUCAUUUUUUUAUGCAAAAAUAUGCAGUUUACUGGCCAGAAGGCGGAGCAGCCAGCCAAUACAGCGCGUUUAUUGGCCAGAAAAUGUCAUUGACUGGCUAGGAAAAUGGCGGCCAACAUGCGUAAUGCGACAUGCGCGAGGACAGAAACUUCAAAGCUUCCGACGUAAGUGGCCCUUCUAUAUGGAUCUUUAUUCUAUGGCUGAGGCAUUCAA
This is a non-coding RNA of Paramuricea clavata, 855 nucleotides long. Lineage: Eukaryota; Metazoa; Cnidaria; Anthozoa; Malacalcyonacea; Plexauridae. The record is from the annotation of a GenBank genome assembly.